RNAcentral lists this ribosomal RNA (456 nucleotides) under Orthotomicus spinifer. RNAcentral's name for it is "eukaryotic LSU rRNA". Lineage: Eukaryota; Metazoa; Arthropoda; Insecta; Coleoptera; Curculionidae. The record is from RNAcentral.
AGGGGUAAACCUGAGAAACCCGAAAGGUCGAAGGAAGAAAUUCAUUCGCGUUUCGACGAGGACGUCGAGCGGUCGAGCGACGCGAGACGUUUUUACGACUCGCGCGCCCUCCGCGCGUCGAAUCCGCGACGAACGCGUGCACUUUUCUUCUGGUAGGACGUCGCGAUCCGUUGGGCGUCAGCCUAAGGCGAGCGGUGGAGCCCGCCGGUAGCUUCGCGCUUCCGGCGAACCCGUUCGUUUCCCGGCUGACUCGCUCGACGGUAUUCGAAUGGUUAGGGGCCGCUCAUUUUCGGAGCGUUCGACUCUCGGCAAGCGCGUCAGACGCGUCGGCGAUCGGACCCGGUGCCGAUUCCGGCCUCUGACGACUGUUGGCCGUUGAAGUUCUCGAACAGACCCCGUCGACCGAUCGGCGACGCUAUAGCUUUGGGUACUUUCAGGACCCGUCUUGAAACACGG